This 1860-nucleotide ribosomal RNA is filed under the name Triticum aestivum (bread wheat). Its description in RNAcentral is "partial small subunit ribosomal RNA". Lineage: Eukaryota; Viridiplantae; Streptophyta; Magnoliopsida; Poales; Poaceae. The record is from RNAcentral.
AUGGUGGGGAACAGGCGGCGGGAGCUGCAGGAGAGGGACAGGAGGCGGCGGGAGCUGCAGGACAGCGCGCGGCGGGAGGAGCUCGGGCGGGAGAGCAGGGAGGCGGCGGCGGCGGCCGCCAUGGCGGCGGCGGGCAAGGAGAGGGCCAGGGAGAAGGGGAAGGGGAAGGAGCGGGAGAAUGGCGGAGAGGGCGGCAAGUUCGGCCAGCAAUUCGCCAGGGUGUUCCUGCCGCAGCUCUACGGGGAGAGAUUGAAAAUUCCACCAUCAUUCAACCAGUACCUUCAGGAUCAGCCUACUGGAGUGGUUUCCCUAAAAGGUCAAAGUGGCAACACAUGGCUUGCAGAGCUGGCUUCAGACAAUGAAGGAUUGUUCUUUGUGAAGGGAUGGAAGGAAUUUGUCAGAGACCAUUCGAUUGAGAUGGGUCACUUCUUAACAUUCCGUUAUGAUGGACGCUCACAAUUCUCAGUGGUCAUCUUUGAUGGAAUGUGCAUUGAGAAGCCUUCAGCUUUUCAUGCUAAGCCUCGCAAGAAUCUGGUUGUUAAAAUAGAAAGUGGUAAAGGGGACAUGGACAUCAAUGCAGCUGAUCCAUCACAAGUAUCGGCUGCCCCCUUGGAGGAGAGUAAUGAAACCACAAGGAAGAGGGUUACAGAAAUGGAUGCAGAUGGCUCUACAUCGAAGAAGCGCUCUAGUAUCUUGGAAAACGGUAUGCCUGAAGCUUCGGCUGUUACAUGUAAGGUGGCAUCAACGAGCCUUAACGUGGACAUGAAUACAGCUGACCCACCAGAGGCAGUGGUUGUUCCCUUAGAAGAGAGCAACCAAACCACUAGGAAGAGGGUUAGAGAAAUCGAUGCAAAUGGCUCUGCAUUGGAGAAGUCCUUGAGGGUUAGAGAAAUCGAUGAAAAUGACUCUGCAUUGCACAAGUCCUCGAGGGUUAGAGAAAUCGAUGCAAAUGACUCUGCUUUGCACAAGUCCUCGAGGGUUAGAGAAAUCGAUGCAAAUGACUCUGCGUUGCAGAAGUCCUCGAGGGUUAGAGAAAUCGAUGCAAAAGACUCUGCAUUGCAGAAGUCCUCGAGGGUUAGAGAAAUCGAUGCAAAUGACUCUGCGUUGCAGAAGUCCUCGAGGGUUAGAGAAAUCGAUGCAAAUGACUCUGCGUUGCAGAAGUCCUCAAGGGUUAGGGAAAUCGAUGCAAAUGACUCUGCAUUGCAGAAGUCCUGUAUUGCCUCAAACAAGGAUAAGAAAAGGUGUCCUGCAGCUUCAGUCGGUACUUACAAGUCAGCUUCAACAAGUCUUGACAGUACUGAAGAUUCUGAUUCCUCAAGCAGCAUGUUAGAACAAAGUAUCUCUUGCAUCAAGUCUGAAUUGACAUCACCCAUUCGGCUCGGAGUGAGUAAGGAUGUUGCUAGACGUGGUCAAACUAGCGCGACGGGUAAGAGACUACUAAGAGUACUAUCACAAAGGCCACUGAUAACUGAAAUACAGAAGGACAAUGCUCUGCUAAGGGCAAAACAAUUUAAAUCCAAGAAUCCUUUCGGUCUUCAGAUAAUGAAGGAGUCUUAUGUAUAUGUGGGAUUUUUCUUGAAUCUACCCUGUGAAUUUGUAAGGGAGUGUCUUCCCCGUGCCCACAGGAAGUUAAAGCUCUGGAAUCCACAAGGAAAGUCUUGGGAUGUUAACUAUGUCUACUACAGCGAACGCUGUGGUGGCGGUUUGAGUGGUGGCUGGGGCAAGUUUUCUCUAGACAAUAAUCUGGAGAAGUUCGACGUGUGCGUCUUCGAGCUCUUCUCGAAGGACAACAUAAAAGUACACAUCUACAGAGUCGUCCCAGAAAUAACCCCAUUCCUCCCUGGUCCUGGCAAGAAAUAA